GGUCCUAUAGCUCAGUUGGUUAGAGCAGCUGACUCAUAAUCAGCGGGUCCUUGGUUCGAGCCCGAGUGGGACCACCA
This 77-nucleotide transfer RNA is filed under the name Bacteroidales bacterium. RNAcentral describes it as "tRNA-Ile". It matches the Rfam family "tRNA". From Rfam's summary of the family: Transfer RNA (tRNA) molecules are approximately 80 nucleotides in length. Their secondary structure includes four short double-helical elements and three loops (D, anti-codon, and T loops). Further hydrogen bonds mediate the characteristic L-shaped molecular structure. tRNAs have two regions of fundamental functional importance: the anti-codon, which is responsible for specific mRNA codon recognition, and the 3' end, to which the tRNAs corresponding amino acid is attached (by aminoacyl-tRNA synthetases). tRNAs cope with the degeneracy of the genetic code in two manners: having more than one tRNA (with a specific anti-codon) for a particular amino acid; and 'wobble' base-pairing, i.e. permitting non-standard base-pairing at the 3rd anti-codon position. RNAcentral also lists the same sequence under 1 other name. The record is from RNAcentral. Lineage: Bacteria; Pseudomonadati; Bacteroidota; Bacteroidia; Bacteroidales.